CUAAUACCGGAUAACAACAGAUGAUGCCUAUCAACUUAGUUUAAAAGAUGGUUCUGCUAUCACUCUUGGAUGGACCUGCGGUGCAUUAGCUAGUUGGUAGGGUAACGGCCUACCAAGGCGAUGAUGCAUAGCCGAGUUGAGAGACUGAUCGGCCACAUUGGGACUGAGACACGGCCCAAACUCCUACGGGAGGCAGCAGUU
RNAcentral lists this ribosomal RNA (201 nucleotides) under uncultured Lactobacillus sp. RNAcentral's name for it is "partial 16S ribosomal RNA". It matches the Rfam family "Bacterial small subunit ribosomal RNA", at positions 163 to 355 of the family's 1533-position model. The record is from RNAcentral. Lineage: Bacteria; Bacillati; Bacillota; Bacilli; Lactobacillales; Lactobacillaceae.